This 416-nucleotide ribosomal RNA is filed under the name Pholcus krabi. Its description in RNAcentral is "partial 16S ribosomal RNA". It matches the Rfam family "Bacterial large subunit ribosomal RNA", at positions 1840 to 2597 of the family's 2925-position model. Lineage: Eukaryota; Metazoa; Arthropoda; Arachnida; Araneae; Pholcidae. The record is from RNAcentral.
UGUUUAUCUAAAGUAAAACCUGCUCAAUGAUAAUUCAAUAGCCGCAGUUUUACUGUGCUAAGGUAGCAUAAUCACUUGCUUCUUAAUUAGGAGAUAGUAUGAAUGGUUACACAUUUAAAGACAGUAUCUAACAACCUUAAUUAAAUUAAAACAGGGGUAAAAACUCCCUUAUAUUACAGCGGGACGACAAGACCCUGAUAAACUUAACAUUUAGUUGGGGAAACGAUAUAAAAAAACUUUAUAAAAAACAAAACCUAACUUAUAAUAAAUACAAGACUAGUUACUAAAGGGAUAACAGCGCAAUUUCUUUCAAAAGACCUUAUUUAAAAAGAAGUUUACGACCUCGAUGUUGAAUUAAUUUUCCUAAAAUAAGCAAAAGCAUUGACCAAGGUAGUCUGUUCGACUAUUAAAAAAUU